UGCGUAGGCUGGACAAUCAGUCAGUGGUGAAAUCCUGCGGCUUAACCGUAGAACUGCCAUUGAUACUGUUGUCCUUGAGUAUAGUUGAGGUGGGCGGAAUGUGUAAUGUAGCGGUGAAAUGCAUAGAGAUUACACAGAACACCAAUUGCGAAGGCAGCUCACUAAGCUAUAACUGACGCUGAGGCACGAAAGCGUGGGGAGCGAACAGGAUUAGAUACCCUGGUAGUCC
This 229-nucleotide ribosomal RNA is filed under the name uncultured bacterium. RNAcentral describes it as "partial 16S ribosomal RNA". It matches the Rfam family "Bacterial small subunit ribosomal RNA", at positions 568 to 796 of the family's 1533-position model. The record is from RNAcentral.